GGCAGCAUGAUCUAUCUUGCUAGAUUGAUGGCGAGUGGCGAACGGGUGAGUAAUACAUCGGAACGUGCCCUGUAGUGGGGGAUAACUAGUCGAAAGAUUAGCUAAUACCGCAUACGACCUGAGGGUGAAAGUGGGGGACCGCAAGGCCUCAUGCUAUAGGAGCGGCCGAUGUCUGAUUAGCUAGUUGGUGAGGUAAAGGCUCACCAAGGCGACGAUCAGUAGCUGGUCUGACAGGACGAUCAGCCACACUGGGACUGAGACACGGCCCAGACUCCUACGGGAGGCAGCAGUGGGGAAUUUUGGACAAUGGGCGAAAGCCUGAUCCAGCAAUGGCGCGUGUGUGAAGAAGGCCUUCGGGUUGUAAAGCACUUUUGUCCGGAAAGAAAUGGCUCUGGUUAAUACCUGGGGUCGAUGACGGUACCGGAAGAAUAAGGACCGGCUAACUACGUGCCAGCAGC
This 458-nucleotide ribosomal RNA is filed under the name uncultured Ralstonia sp. Its description in RNAcentral is "bacterial SSU rRNA". It matches the Rfam family "Bacterial small subunit ribosomal RNA", at positions 68 to 515 of the family's 1533-position model. Lineage: Bacteria; Pseudomonadati; Pseudomonadota; Betaproteobacteria; Burkholderiales; Burkholderiaceae. The record is from RNAcentral.